AAUGUUUGAAUGUGAUAUUUAUUGUCUAGAAUAUGUAAUUAUGAAUGUGUGAAAAUUUCAAGCUUCGAUUUAGCCGAUUGCAUGUGAAUUUAGUCAAUAGGACUUAUGUGCGACAUUUUUGAAAUGUGAUAGGUCGAAGCAUAAGGACCUAUUAGAGCAUGAAAUAAAAAGGGGGGACUUGCAUGUCAAAUUCCCCCCUAACUAGUAGUGGCCGGCCAUGACAAGCAUGGUAGACCAAGUGUGAUGGGCAAGACAUGUCAU
RNAcentral lists this long non-coding RNA (261 nucleotides) under Gossypium barbadense (sea-island cotton). RNAcentral describes it as "long non-coding RNA (GBAR_LNC001305)". Lineage: Eukaryota; Viridiplantae; Streptophyta; Magnoliopsida; Malvales; Malvaceae. The record is from RNAcentral.